CCUACGGGAGGCAGCAGUGAGGAAUAUUGGUCAAUGGGCGCGAGCCUGAACCAGCCAAGUCGCGUGAAGGAUGACUGCCCUACGGGUUGUAAACCUCUUUUAUCAAGGAAUAAAGGGAGGCACGUGUGCCUUUUUGCGUGUACCUUAUGAAUAAGCAUCGGCUAACUCCGUGCCAGCAGCCGCGGUAAUACGGAGGAUGCGAGCGUUAUCCGGAUUUAUUGGGUUUAAAGGGUGCGUAGGCGGGCUGUCAAGUCAGCGGUAAAAUUUCGGGGCUCAACCCCGUCCUGCCGUUGACACUGGGGUCCUUGAGUGGGCGAGAAGAAGGCGGAAUGCGUGGUGUAGCGGUGAAAUGCAUAGAUAUCACGCAGAACCCCGAUUGCGAAGGCAGCCUUCCGGCGCCCUACUGACGCUGAGGCACGAAAGUGCGGGGAUCGAACAGGAUUAGAUACCCGUGUAGUC
RNAcentral lists this ribosomal RNA (459 nucleotides) under uncultured bacterium. RNAcentral describes it as "partial 16S ribosomal RNA". It matches the Rfam family "Bacterial small subunit ribosomal RNA", at positions 338 to 795 of the family's 1533-position model. The record is from RNAcentral.